This 337-nucleotide unclassified non-coding RNA is filed under the name soil metagenome. Its description in RNAcentral is "partial contains 5.8S ribosomal RNA, internal transcribed spacer 2, and large subunit ribosomal RNA". The stretch from base 1 to 120 matches the Rfam family "5.8S ribosomal RNA", at positions 35 to 154 of the family's 154-position model. The record is from RNAcentral.
GAUGAAGAACGCAGCGAAAUGCGAUAAGUAGUGUGAAUUGCAGAAUUCAGUGAAUCAUCGAAUCUUUGAACGCACAUUGCGCCCCUUGGUAUUCCAUGGGGCAUGCCUGUUCGAGCGUCAUUUGUACCUUCAAGCUCUGCUUGGUGUUGGGUGUUUGUCUCGCCUCUGCGUGUAGACUCGCCUCAAAACAAUUGGCAGCCGGCGUAUUGAUUUCGGAGCACAGUACAUCUCGCGCUUUGCACUCAUAACGACGACGUCCAAAAGUACAUUUUUACACUCUUGACCUCGGAUCAGGUAGGGAUACCCGCUGAACUUAAGCAUAUCAAUAAGCGGAGGA